CUACGGGGCGCUGCAGCUGAGGAUCUUUUACAAUGCACGCAAGUGUGAUAAAGCGAGCCAGAGCGUUGUUCUUAGAACAACUUUUGUUUGCUGUAAAAAGGCAGACGAAUAAGGACUGGGUAAGACCGGUGCCAGCCGCCGCGGUAAUACCGGCGGUCCAAGUUGCAUCCAUUUUUAUUAGGUCUAAAACAUCCGUAGCUUGUUUUGUAAGUUUCUUGUGAAAUCUUAUGUCUCAAACAUGAGGCUUGCAAGAAAUACUGCAUUGCUAGAGACCGGAAGACGUAAGGAGUAUGAUUGAGGUAGCGGUAAAAUGCGUUAAUCUUAAUCAGACUAACAAUGGCGAAGGCACCUUACGAGUACGGAUCUGACAGUGAGGGAUGAAGGCUAGGGGCGCAAAACGGAUUAGAUACCCUAGUAGUC
RNAcentral lists this ribosomal RNA (420 nucleotides) under uncultured archaeon. RNAcentral's name for it is "partial 16S ribosomal RNA". It matches the Rfam family "Archaeal small subunit ribosomal RNA", at positions 323 to 746 of the family's 1478-position model. The record is from RNAcentral.